RNAcentral lists this ribosomal RNA (208 nucleotides) under uncultured bacterium. RNAcentral describes it as "partial 16S ribosomal RNA". It matches the Rfam family "Bacterial small subunit ribosomal RNA", at positions 568 to 774 of the family's 1533-position model. The record is from RNAcentral.
CGUGUAGGCGGGUCAGCACGUCGGGCGCUGAAAUCCCCCGGCUCAACCGGGGAACGGGCACCGAUACGACUGGCCUGGAGGGGAGUAGGGGGACCUGGAACUUCCGGUGGAGCGGUGAAAUGCGUUGAGAUCGGAAGGAACGCCCGUGGCGAAAGCGAGGUCCUGGGCUCUUACUGACGCUGAGACGCGAAAGCCAGGGGAGCGAACG